Molecule: ribosomal RNA, 253 nt
Filed under: uncultured bacterium
Lineage: Bacteria
Description: partial 16S ribosomal RNA
Rfam family: Bacterial small subunit ribosomal RNA
Source: RNAcentral
UACGUAGGGGGCUAGCGUUGUCCGGAAUCACUGGGCGUAAAGAGCGCGUAGGCGGCCAGAUAAGUCCGGUGUGAAAGUCAAAGGCUCAACCUUUGAAUGCCGCUGGAAACUGUCUGGCUAGAGUCCGGGAGGGGCGAGUGGAAUUCCUGGUGUAGCGGUGAAAUGCGCAGAUAUCAGGAGGAACACCGGUGGCGAAGGCGGAUCUCUGGGCAGUUCCUGACGCUGAGGCACGAAGGCCAGGGGAGCAAACGGG